ACUUCAGUUGCAAACUGGACACAGAUGUGCUACAGUCCCAACUGCCACGCCUGAUAGAGACAGUGAACUAAUACAGUCGAGCCUGCAAAGUGAUCAAUUAGGAAAAAGGAAAUCAACUGUGGAUAUUUUGACGUGAACAAGAGCUGAAACAUAGAAUGAAGGCGUAUUUAUUACUUUUGCUUGUCUUCGUUGCCAUUGCCGCCGUGACCCCUGAAAGUGGAAUGAUCGAAUCCGAUGUUGAAAGGUCGGCAGGAAACCAGAAGAUAACUAGCAUCUCAGAAUUCCUGCAGCGAUUCCGUCGAUCGUGUUGCCUUACUUGUCAUUCGUGGUGCAAGUGCUGCUUAGCGUAGAAAGACAUGCUUCUUCGUGCUUGCACCAUUGCAUACAAGAUGGAAACCGCUAUAGCUUUUGUUCAAACAAGAGAUGAAUGAGCUCGAAUUUUAGAAUCUUUCUCGAAAUUUUAUGUGUAUUGCGUGCUCUUUGAAUAAAGUUGA
Long non-coding RNA from Lingula anatina, 494 nucleotides. RefSeq lists it as uncharacterized. The record is from RefSeq and is a predicted model, not a curated record. NCBI's taxonomy places the organism in Eukaryota, Metazoa, Brachiopoda, Lingulata, Lingulida, Lingulidae.